GUUUGCGAUCAUACAAACACUAAUGCAUCGGAUCCCAUCAGAACUCCGAAGUUAAGCGUGCUUGCGCGAGAGUAGUACUAGGAUUCGUGACCUCUUGGGAAGUACUUGUGUUGCACCCC
RNAcentral lists this ribosomal RNA (119 nucleotides) under Nelumbo nucifera (sacred lotus). Lineage: Eukaryota; Viridiplantae; Streptophyta; Magnoliopsida; Proteales; Nelumbonaceae. The record is from RNAcentral.